RNAcentral lists this transfer RNA (74 nucleotides) under Candidatus Chlorohelix allophototropha. Its description in RNAcentral is "tRNA-Gln". It matches the Rfam family "tRNA". Rfam says of the family: Transfer RNA (tRNA) molecules are approximately 80 nucleotides in length. Their secondary structure includes four short double-helical elements and three loops (D, anti-codon, and T loops). RNAcentral also lists the same sequence under 1 other name. Lineage: Bacteria; Bacillati; Chloroflexota; Chloroflexia; Candidatus Chloroheliales; Candidatus Chloroheliaceae. The record is from RNAcentral.
UCGGGUGUCGUCUAAUGGUAGGACAGCAGACUUUGAAUCUGUCAGUUGGGGUUCGAGUCCCUGCACCCGAGCCA